AAAUUGAAGAGUUUGAUCAUGGCUCAGAUUGAACGCUGGCGGCAGGCCUAACACAUGCAAGUCGAGCGGUAGCACAGAGAGCUUGCUCUCGGGUGACGAGCGGCGGACGGGUGAGUAAUGUCUGGGAAACUGCCUGAUGGAGGGGGAUAACUACUGGAAACGGUAGCUAAUACCGCAUAACGUCGCAAGACCAAAGUGGGGGACCUUCGGGCCUCAUGCCAUCAGAUGUGCCCAGAUGGGAUUAGCUAGUAGGUGGGGUAACGGCUCACCUAGGCGACGAUCCCUAGCUGGUCUGAGAGGAUGACCAGCCACACUGGAACUGAGACACGGUCCAGACUCCUACGGGAGGCAGCAGUGGGGAAUAUUGCACAAUGGGCGCAAGCCUGAUGCAGCCAUGCCGCGUGUGUGAAGAAGGCCUUCGGGUUGUAAAGCACUUUCAGCGGGGAGGAAGGCGAUAAGGUUAAUAACCUUGUCGAUUGACGUUACCCGCAGAAGAAGCACCGGCUAACUCCGUGCCAGCAGCCGCGGUAAUACGGAGGGUGCAAGCGUUAAUCGGAAUUACUGGGCGUAAAGCGCACGCAGGCGGUCUGUCAAGUCGGAUGUGAAAUCCCCGGGCUCAACCUGGGAACUGCAUUCGAAACUGGCAGGCUAGAGUCUUGUAGAGGGGGGUAGAAUUCCAGGUGUAGCGGUGAAAUGCGUAGAGAUCUGGAGGAAUACCGGUGGCGAAGGCGGCCCCCUGGACAAAGACUGACGCUCAGGUGCGAAAGCGUGGGGAGCAAACAGGAUUAGAUACCCUGGUAGUCCACGCCGUAAACGAUGUCGAUUUGGAGGUUGUGCCCUUGAGGCGUGGCUUCCGGAGCUAACGCGUUAAA
This 872-nucleotide ribosomal RNA is filed under the name Klebsiella pneumoniae. Its description in RNAcentral is "bacterial SSU rRNA". It matches the Rfam family "Bacterial small subunit ribosomal RNA", at positions 1 to 864 of the family's 1533-position model. Lineage: Bacteria; Pseudomonadati; Pseudomonadota; Gammaproteobacteria; Enterobacterales; Enterobacteriaceae. The record is from RNAcentral.